AACGAACGCUGGCGGCAUGCCUAACACAUGCAAGUCGAACGAAGCCUUCGGGCUUAGUGGCGCACGGGUGCGUAACGCGUGGGAAUCUGCCCUUUGGUUCGGAAUAACAGUUGGAAACGACUGCUAAUACCGGAUGAUGACGAAAGUCCAAAGAUUUAUCGCCAGAGGAUGAGCCCGCGUAGGAUUAGCUAGUUGGGGUGGUAAAGGCGCACCAAGGCGACGAUCCUUAGCUGGUCUGGGAGGAUGAUCAGCCACACUGGGACUGAGACACGGCCCAGACUCCUACGGGAGGCAGCAGUGGGGAAUAUUGGACAAUGGGCGAAAGCCUGAUCCAGCAAUGCCGCGUGAGUGAUGAAGGCCCUAGGGUUGUAAAGCUCUUUUACCCGGGAUGAUAAUGACAGUACCGGGAGAAUAAGCCCCGGCUAACUCCGUGCCAGCCGCCGCCGUAA
This 449-nucleotide ribosomal RNA is filed under the name uncultured bacterium. RNAcentral's name for it is "partial 16S ribosomal RNA". It matches the Rfam family "Bacterial small subunit ribosomal RNA", at positions 29 to 523 of the family's 1533-position model. The record is from RNAcentral.